This 433-nucleotide ribosomal RNA is filed under the name uncultured bacterium. RNAcentral describes it as "bacterial SSU rRNA". It matches the Rfam family "Bacterial small subunit ribosomal RNA", at positions 920 to 1350 of the family's 1533-position model. The record is from RNAcentral.
GACCCCGCACAAGCGGCGGAGCAUGCGGCUUAAUUCGAUGCAACGCGAAGAACCUUACCAGGGUUUGACAUCCUGCGAAUCUCUUGGAAACAGGAGAGUGCCUUCGGGAACGCAGUGACAGGUGGUGCAUGGCUGUCGUCAGCUCGUGUCGUGAGAUGUUGGGUUAAGUCCCGCAACGAGCGCAACCCACGUCUUUAGUUGCCAGCAUUUAGUUGGGCACUCUAGAGAGGACUGCCGGUGAUAAACCGGAGGAAGGUGUGGAUGACGUCAAGUCAUCAUGCCCCUUACAUCCUGGGCUACACACGUACUACAAUGCUACGGACAAAGGGCAGCAAGUUCGCGAGGACAAGCAAAUCCCAUAAACCGUGGCUCAGUUCAGAUCGUAGGCUGCAACUCGCCUACGUGAAGGAGGAAUCGCUAGUAAUCGCAGGUC